RNAcentral lists this long non-coding RNA (1302 nucleotides) under Coffea arabica (coffee). Its description in RNAcentral is "long non-coding RNA (CARA_LNC005661)". The record is from RNAcentral. Lineage: Eukaryota; Viridiplantae; Streptophyta; Magnoliopsida; Gentianales; Rubiaceae.
AAACAUACAAGUUCUUCAACUUCAUUAACAUGUCAUCAGAUAAGUCACCCUUUACAAACAAUGUAUGAAGCGAAGCUGAUAGACUCUCCAAAAGUUUUUCUCUGUCUUCUGCACCAACAAAUGAGUCUAUUGUAAGGUAACGAAUCUGAUUAUCGUUGUCUACUGUAUAUGUAUCCCCAUUAUUAAUGACUUUGGUAGACUUUGACAUUGACUCUGCAAGGUCAUGCACCAAAUCAUGCAUCUUAUAAUAUGUUUUCCAAUCAUAUCUUAUUUCUUCAAACAAUGAACUCUGCAAUAAAAUUCUCAGAUAAUUCAUUCCAAUUUCCUCCAUCAUCAUUUGGCUGUUGACAUCUGCUUGGAGGAAACCUUCUGCCAUCCAAAGUUCGAUAAGCAUAUUCCUUUCUAUCUCACUAUCCUUAGGAAAUAUAGACCAAUAUGCAAAACAUUUCUUAAUGUAUGGAGAUGGCAAAUUAUCAAAACUCAACUUAAGUAUUUGCAUGACACGAUCUUCAUCUCCACUAAAACUCAAAAGCCUAUUCUCCAAAAUUGAUUGCCACUCCUCUUUUCUCUUUAAACGUAAUAGACCUCCGAUUACACUUGCAGCCAAUGGUAGACCAUCACAUCUUUUGAUUACUCUCUCUUUAAUUGCUUUUAGUUCGUAAGGUACUUCUCCCCCUCCAACUACUUUUUCUUUUAGGAUAGACCAGCAAAGAUCAUCAGGUAGCCUUCCUAAGGCAUAGGCUUCAUCAUCCAUCAUCAAAGCUCCAGACACAAUACCUGCCACCUGACCACUACGAGUAGUGACAAGACACCAGCUUCCAUCAGUUGGAUUGAGUCCUUUCAAGGUGGUGAAAAGGUCAUCCCACAAUGCAUGAUUAUCAUCCCACACAUCAUCAAGAACUAGGAGAUAUCUUUUUCCCCCAAGUUGAUUCUGAAUUUUUUCAACGAUGACUUCCCUAACAUCUACUUCAACCUUUUCUUUUGUCAAAUGCACUAAUAUGAGUUUGAAAAGCUCCUCUAUUGGAACUUUUUUUGAUGCACAAACCCAAACCUUUUUGUCGAAGUGCCCAUCAAUUUGCUGAUUGUUGUAUAUCGAUUUAGCCAAAGUUGUUUUGCCUAGACCUCCCAUACCAAUUAUGGGAAGAACAGAAACAACCUUCUCAGACGGGCUCAACAGCAUCUUCACUAUCUUUGAUUCAUCAUCGGCUCUUCCAACCAUUGGAGCAACAACUGAGUCGGUCUGCCGAUUUCUUGUGUCUCCAGCAGCAGGAGCAGCAGGGAGGGUAGCUGUCAAGACUGGCC